Pan troglodytes (chimpanzee) is the source of this 255-nucleotide long non-coding RNA. RefSeq lists it as uncharacterized. The record is from RefSeq and is a predicted model, not a curated record. The transcript has 2 exons. NCBI's taxonomy places the organism in Eukaryota, Metazoa, Chordata, Mammalia, Primates, Hominidae.
UCUGCUCGCAGCCGCUGCAGCGCCGCCUGCACCACUCGGCGGAGACGGAGACCAGCGGCGGCGACGCGCGGACUGGGAGAGACCGCCGAGCAGUCAAGCAGCUGGGGAGGCACGCAGGCCGGCAGGCUUGGAAUACAUGAGGAAGAAGAGUGGGAGACAGGAGGAAAGGUAAGGUUGGGAGAGGGCAAGAGGAAAGGAGGAGAGUAGAGGGAACACUCCAUCGAUUGCCAGCACAAUAAACUGUAUCAUGGACUA